Molecule: ribosomal RNA, 810 nt
Filed under: uncultured bacterium
Lineage: Bacteria
Description: bacterial SSU rRNA
Rfam family: Bacterial small subunit ribosomal RNA
Source: RNAcentral
AGAGUUUGAUCCUGGCUCAGAACGAACGCUGGCGGCGUGCCUAACACAUGCAAGUCGAACGCGAAAGGGGGCAACCCCCGGUAGCGUGGCAGACGGGUGAGUAACACGUGGGUAACCUACCCGGAGGUGGGGGAUAACCCUUCGAAAGGAGGGCUAAUACCGCAUGAUACCGUGGGGACCUCGGUCCUUACGAUCAAAGCUGGCCUCUGUUUACAAGCUAGCGCCACCGGAUGGGCCCGCGCCCCAUUAGCUAGUUGGUGAGGUAACGGCUCACCAAGGCGACGAUGGGUAGCCGGCCUGAGAGGGCGAUCGGCCACACUGGAACUGCGACACGGUCCAGACUCCUACGGGAGGCAGCAGUGAGGAAUAUUGCGCAAUGGGCGAAAGCCUGACGCAGCGACGCCGCGUGGAGGAUGAAGGUCUUCGGAUUGUAAACUCCUGUCGAGUGGGACGAAUGCCGUGAGGGUGAACAAUCCUUACGGUUGACGGUACCGCUGGAGGAAGCCCCGGCUAACUCCGUGCCAGCAGCCGCGGUAAUACGGAGGGGGCUAGCGUUGCUCGGAAUCAUUGGGCGUAAAGGGCGUGUAGGCGGCCGAUCAAGUCGGAGGUGAAAUCCCUCGGCUCAACUGAGGAAUUGCCUUCGAUACUGUUCGGCUUGAGUCCUGGAGAGGGUAGCGGAAUUCCCGGUGUAGCGGUGAAAUGCGUAGAGACCGGGAAGAACACCAGUGGCGAAGGCGGCUACCUGGACAGGUACUGACGCUAAAGCGCGAAAGCUAGGGGAGCAAACAGGAUUAGAUACCCUAGUAGUCC